CUCCUCCCUGGCUCCCGGCGCCGCCCGCCCCCCAUCUCCUCCUGCGAUCCUGGCGUCGCCCCGCCCCACCUUCUCCCUCACUUCCGGCGCUACCUAUCGAUCCCCUCGACGACACAGAGCCGCCGUCCUCUCGUGCGAUCUCGCAGCCGCAUCCGCCAACGCCGAUCCGGGCAGACGCGGCCGUCGUGGAUCACGAGGAUCCGGAUGAUGGGGGCGUGGAGAUGGCCAUGGAUCUGUUACGGCGACGACGGCGCCGGAUCCGCACCCGCAACAUCCGGAUGGAGGCCGGCGACGAACCCUAGCCUAGCCGUCAGCAUCGGGAUCCAACCCCUUCUCUCGGUGUUGGGGCAAGGCGUAUGGGGGUGCUUGUUGCGGCGGUGGACCUCGACCCGGCGACAUCUGCAGCAUCUCCCUCCCGUCGGGCUGCAGGACCUGUACGCCCAAGAGAUGUGAUGUAUGCACCUCAUGGUACACAUAGGGUUUUGAUUUGCUUUCCUUGACUGCAGAAGAUGUUAUUAUGAUGAGCCAGGUCAUGGUCUGCUACUGCGUGCAUGACAACAUGAGGUGUCGCAAUCGGUGCGGUAUGCUGGUGAUAGAUGUUCUCGAUUGUGAUGCCCAAGCCUGUCUGCCGCAAUUGUGUGUUCGUUACUGCUGAGAUAAGCGUAUCCAGAUCUUUUGACCCUUCCACGAAAAGGUGUAACAUGAAAAAGGACUCACGGGUGGACAUCUGCUAUAAAUUACCUAGGCCUGGUCAUCUGCGUGAGUUGCAUCUGUCAUUUUUCUUCCCAGGUAGAACAUUAGUUUUAAUUAAAAACAAGGUAGAACAUU
Molecule: long non-coding RNA, 828 nt
Organism: Triticum dicoccoides
Lineage: Eukaryota; Viridiplantae; Streptophyta; Magnoliopsida; Poales; Poaceae
Exons: 5
Source: RefSeq, a predicted model, not a curated record